UACGAAGGGGGCUAGCGUUGCUCGGAAUCACUGGGCGUAAAGGGUGCGUAGGCGGGUCUUUAAGUCAGGGGUGAAAUCCUGGAGCUCAACUCCAGAACUGCCUUUGAUACUGAGGAUCUUGAGUACGAGAGAGGUGAGUGGAAUUCCCAGUGUAGAGGUGAAAUUCGUAGAUAUUGGGAAGAACACCGGUGGCGAAGGCGGCUCACUGGCUCGUAACUGACGCUCAGGCGCGAUAGCGUGGGGAUCAAACAGG
This 253-nucleotide ribosomal RNA is filed under the name uncultured bacterium. RNAcentral describes it as "partial 16S ribosomal RNA". It matches the Rfam family "Bacterial small subunit ribosomal RNA", at positions 524 to 776 of the family's 1533-position model. The record is from RNAcentral.